GCCGAGUGGUUAAGGCGAUGGACUUGAAAUCCAUUGGGGAAACCCGCGUGAGUUCAAAUCUCAC
Molecule: transfer RNA, 64 nt
Filed under: Plasmopara halstedii
Lineage: Eukaryota; Oomycota; Peronosporomycetes; Peronosporales; Peronosporaceae
Rfam family: tRNA
About the family: Transfer RNA (tRNA) molecules are approximately 80 nucleotides in length. Their secondary structure includes four short double-helical elements and three loops (D, anti-codon, and T loops).
Source: Rfam by way of RNAcentral